RNAcentral lists this ribosomal RNA (707 nucleotides) under uncultured Enterobacteriaceae bacterium. RNAcentral describes it as "bacterial SSU rRNA". It matches the Rfam family "Bacterial small subunit ribosomal RNA", at positions 794 to 1502 of the family's 1533-position model. The record is from RNAcentral. Lineage: Bacteria; Pseudomonadati; Pseudomonadota; Gammaproteobacteria; Enterobacterales; Enterobacteriaceae.
GUCACGCUGUAAACGAUGUCGAUUUGGAGUUUGUUGCCUAGAGUGAUGGGCUCCGAAGCUAACGCGAUAAAUCGACCGCUGGGGAGUACGGCCGCAAGGUUAAAACUCAAAUGAAUUGACGGGGGCCCGCACAAGCGGUGGAGCAUGUGGUUUAAUUCGAUGCAACGCGAAGAACCUUACCUGGUCUUGACAUCCAUAGAAUUCUGCAGAGAUGUGGGAGUGCCUUCGGGAACUAUGAGACAGGUGCUGCAUGGCUGUCGUCAGCUCGUGUUGUGAAAUGUUGGGUUAAGUCCCGCAACGAGCGCAACCUUUAUUCUUUGUUGCCAGCGAUUUGGUCGGGAACUCAAAGGAGACUGCCGUUGAUAAAGCGGAGGAAGGUGGGGACGACGUCAAGUCAUCAUGGCCCUUACGACCAGGGCUACACACGUGCUACAAUGGCGUAUACAAAGGGAGGCGAAGGUGCGAGCUGGAGCGGAUCUCAUAAAGUACGUCUAAGUUCGGAUUGGAGUCUGCAACUCGACUCCAUGAAGUCGGAAUCGCUAGUAAUCGUAGAUCAGAAUGCUACGGUGAAUACGUUCCCGGGCCUUGUACACACCGCCCGUCACACCAUGGGAGUGGGUUGCACCAGAAGUAGAUAGCUUAACCGCGAGGGGGGCGUUUACCACGGUGUGAUUCAUGACUGGGGUGAAGUCGUAACAAGGUAACCA